CCUACGGGGGGCAGCAGUGAGGCAUAUUGGUCAAUGGACGAGAGUCUGAACCAGCCACGUAGCGUGAAGGAUGACUGCCCUAUGGGUUGUAAACUUCUUUUAUAUGGGAGUAAAAUGUUCCACGUGUGUGAUUUUGUAUGUACCCUAUGAAUAAGGCUCGGCUAAAUCCGUGCCAGCAGCCGCCGUAAUCCGGAGGAUCCGAGCGUUAUCCGGAUUUAUUGGGUUUAAAGGGAGCGUAGGUGGAUUGUUAAGUCUGUUGUGAAAGUUUGCGGCUCAACCGUAAAAUUGCAGUUGAAACUGGCAGUCUUGAGUACAGUAGAGGUGGGCGGAAUUCGUGGUGUAGCGGUGAAAUGCUUAGAUAUCACGAAGAACUCCGAUUGCGAAGGCAGUUCACUGGACUGCAACUGACACUGAGGCUCGAAAGUGUGGGUAUCAAACAGGAUUAGAUACCCCUGUAGUC
This 460-nucleotide ribosomal RNA is filed under the name uncultured bacterium. RNAcentral's name for it is "partial 16S ribosomal RNA". It matches the Rfam family "Bacterial small subunit ribosomal RNA", at positions 338 to 795 of the family's 1533-position model. The record is from RNAcentral.